UGGGGAAUAUUGGACAAUGGGCGCAAGCCUGAUCCAGCCAUGCCGCGUGAGUGAUGAAGGCCCUAGGGUUGUAAAGCUCUUUCAACGGUGAAGAUAAUGACGGUAACCGUAGAAGAAGCCCCGGCUAACUUCGUGCCAGCAGCCGCGGUAAUACGAAGGGGGCUAGCGUUGUUCGGAAUUACUGGGCGUAAAGCGCACGUAGGCGGACUAUUAAGUCAGGGGUGAAAUCCCGGGGCUCAACCCCGGAACUGCCUUUGAUACUGGUAGUCUAGAGUUCGAGAGAGGUGAGUGGAAUUCCGAGUGUAGAGGUGAAAUUCGUAGAUAUUCGGAGGAACACCAGUGGCGAAGGCGGCUCACUGGCUCGAUACUGACGCUGAGGUGCGAAAGCGUGGGGAGCAAACAGGAUUAGAUACCCCCGUAGUCC
Molecule: ribosomal RNA, 424 nt
Filed under: uncultured prokaryote
Description: bacterial SSU rRNA
Rfam family: Bacterial small subunit ribosomal RNA
Source: RNAcentral